UCCCUGGUGGCUCAGAUGGUAAAGAAUCUGCCUGCAAUGCAGGAGACCCGGGUUCAACCCCUGGGUUGGGAA
This 72-nucleotide transfer RNA is filed under the name Bos taurus (domestic cattle). It matches the Rfam family "tRNA". Rfam says of the family: Transfer RNA (tRNA) molecules are approximately 80 nucleotides in length. Their secondary structure includes four short double-helical elements and three loops (D, anti-codon, and T loops). Further hydrogen bonds mediate the characteristic L-shaped molecular structure. tRNAs have two regions of fundamental functional importance: the anti-codon, which is responsible for specific mRNA codon recognition, and the 3' end, to which the tRNAs corresponding amino acid is attached (by aminoacyl-tRNA synthetases). tRNAs cope with the degeneracy of the genetic code in two manners: having more than one tRNA (with a specific anti-codon) for a particular amino acid; and 'wobble' base-pairing, i.e. permitting non-standard base-pairing at the 3rd anti-codon position. RNAcentral also lists the same sequence under 5 other names. The record is from Rfam by way of RNAcentral. Lineage: Eukaryota; Metazoa; Chordata; Mammalia; Artiodactyla; Bovidae.